GACGAACGCUGGCGGCGUGCUUAACACAUGCAAGUCGAACGGAAAGGCCCUGCUUUUGUGGGGUGCUCGAGUGGCGAACGGGUGAGUAACACGUGAGUAACCUGCCCUUGACUUUGGGAUAACUUCAGGAAACUGGGGCUAAUACCGGAUAGGAGCUCCUGCUGCAUGGUGGGGGUUGGAAAGUUUCGGCGGUUGGGGAUGGACUCGCGGCUUAUCAGCUUGUUGGUGGGGUAGUGGCUUACCAAGGCUUUGACGGGUAGCCGGCCUGAGAGGGUGACCGGCCACAGUGGGACUGAGAUACGGCCCAGACUCCUACGGGAGGCAGCAGUGGGGAAUAGUGCACAAUGGGCGGAAGCCUGAUGCAGCAACGCCGCGUGCGGGAUGACGGCCUUCGGGUUGUAACCCGCUUUCGCCUGUGACGAAGCGUGAGUGACGGUAAUGGGUAAAGAAGCACCGGCUAACUACGUG
This 468-nucleotide ribosomal RNA is filed under the name uncultured bacterium. RNAcentral's name for it is "partial 16S ribosomal RNA". It matches the Rfam family "Bacterial small subunit ribosomal RNA", at positions 28 to 507 of the family's 1533-position model. The record is from RNAcentral.